This 497-nucleotide ribosomal RNA is filed under the name uncultured bacterium. RNAcentral describes it as "partial 16S ribosomal RNA". It matches the Rfam family "Bacterial small subunit ribosomal RNA", at positions 28 to 507 of the family's 1533-position model. The record is from RNAcentral.
GAUGAACGCUGGCGGCGUGCCUAAUACAUGCAAGUCGAGCGAACAGACGAGGAGCUUGCUCCUUUGACGUUAGCGGCGGACGGGUAAGUAACACGUGGGUAACCUACCUAUAAGACUGGGAUAACUUCGGGAAACCGGAGCUAAUACCGGAUAAUAUUUCGAACCGCAUGGUUCGAUAGUGAAAGAUGGCUUUGCUAUCACUUAUAGAUGGACCUGCGCCGUAUUAGCUAGUUGGUAAGGUAACGGCUUACCAAGGCAACGAUACGUAGCCGACCUGAGAGGGUGAUCGGCCACACUGGAACUGAGACACGGUCCAGACUCCUACGGGAGGCAGCAGUAGGGAAUCUUCCGCAAUGGGCGAAAGCCUGACGGAGCAACGCCGCGUGAGUGAUGAAGGUCUUCGGAUCGUAAAACUCUGUUAUUAGGGAAGAACAAACGUGUAAGUAACUGUGCACGUCUUGACGGUACCUAAUCAGAAAGCCACGGCUAACUACGUG